UGGUGAUCUGGUGCGGCGAGUUCGGGCGAUUGCCGAUCGCCCAGACCGGCGAGAAGCCGGGCCGCGAUCAUAACCCGCAUUGCUUU
RNAcentral lists this transfer RNA (86 nucleotides) under Blastopirellula retiformator. RNAcentral's name for it is "Planctomycetes bacterium Enr8 tRNA-Gly". The record is from RNAcentral. Lineage: Bacteria; Pseudomonadati; Planctomycetota; Planctomycetia; Pirellulales; Pirellulaceae.